This 24-nucleotide non-coding RNA is filed under the name Cricetulus griseus (Chinese hamster). The record is from RNAcentral. Lineage: Eukaryota; Metazoa; Chordata; Mammalia; Rodentia; Cricetidae.
UUAAGCUUCUGUCCCCUGAGAACU